Long non-coding RNA from Cebus imitator (Panamanian white-faced capuchin), 717 nucleotides. RefSeq lists it as uncharacterized. Lineage: Eukaryota; Metazoa; Chordata; Mammalia; Primates; Cebidae. The record is from RefSeq and is a predicted model, not a curated record. The transcript is spliced from 4 exons.
UUGGACAUCUCUCUUUGGCUGGAGCUGCGCUAGAAGGAAGGACGAGGUGGACGCGCGCGCCAAGCUGGGUCGUCUCCCCCACUUCCGGGCAGCCAAUCAGUGGGGAGACGCCGGACGCGCGCACGCUCCUUCGAGUUUAACGGUCGCGAGAGGCCGCUGGCCUGAAUCUGACAUUUGCAGCGGGAGCGGCUGCCAGACUCCCUUGGAAGUUUAGGAUAUUCACAGUUCUGAAUGUUAGCCACUGAAAAUGCCAGUAGAAGAUGAAGCCUCUGAAGAUGACACGGAUUCAGUUUCCUCAAACAGUCCAGGAACCUCUAUUUUCAAAUAAGAGAGCAUAACAAUUUCUGUACACUAUGGAAGAAUUUGAUUUGGUGAAAACCAGACACAAAACUUCAUCUAUAGAAUCUGAUAAAAAUUCUCCUCAUUUACUUGGACUGAACUUAAAUACUGAUAGAAGUAGUCCCCAACUUAGUACAAAAGGGGUACCCUCUUUCUCAGGGAAGACCAGACCAUCUGUAAUUCAAGGUACAGUUGAAGUCCUAACUUCUUUAAUGCAGGAGCUACAAAACAGUGGAAAGACUGAUUCGGAACUUUGGAAAAACUGUGAGACCAGGUGGUUACAGCUAUUCAAUUUGGUGGAAAAACAAUGCCAAGAACAGAUAGUUGCCCAGCAGGAGCAGUUUCACAACCAAAUUCAAGUAAGUUGUCAUUUACAUU